This 766-nucleotide ribosomal RNA is filed under the name uncultured bacterium. RNAcentral describes it as "bacterial SSU rRNA". It matches the Rfam family "Bacterial small subunit ribosomal RNA", at positions 61 to 806 of the family's 1533-position model. The record is from RNAcentral.
GUCGAGCGAGAAAGCUCCUUCGGGAGUUAGUAAAGCGGCGAUUUGUCGAGUAAUUGAGAUUGAGAAUCUACCCUUCAGUGAGGAAUACCUCCGAGAAAUCGGGGUUAAUACUGCAUUUUUCCCUUCGGGGAGAAAGGUGGCCUCAAUGCUGCCGCUGAUGGAUGAGCUUGCGGGCUAUCAGUUAGUUGGUGAGGUAAUGGCUCACCAAGACUAUGUUUGCUAGCUUUUCCGUGAGAGGGUGUUUUGCCAGACUGGAAUUGAGAAGAUUGAGAUGUCCAGACUCCUUUUGGAGGCAGCAGUGGGGAAUAUUGCGCAAUGGGCGAAAGCCUGUUUCAGCGUUUCCGCGUGAAGGAUGAAGGUCUUCGGAUUGUAAAUUGAGACUGUUAAGUGGGAAGAAAGACACACUCCUAAUACAAAUGUGGGAUGACGGUACCAUUAGAGAAAGCACCGGCUAAUUGAGACGUGCCAGCAGCCGCGGUAAUUUUAGGGGUGCAAGCGUUAUUCGGAAUAAUUGGGCGUACAGGGUGUGUUGUUUGCAUAUUAAGUCAACUGCUCAAUUCUCUUUUCCGUAACCGGAGGUCAGCGGUAGAAACUGAUGUGCUUGAGUAUGGAAGAGAGAAGUGGAAUUCUCGGAGUAGCGGUAAAAUGCGUAGAUCUCGAGAGGAACACCGAUGGCGAAAGCAGCUUCUUGGUCCAUUACUGUUUUUGAGACACGAAAGCGUGGGGAGCAAACAGGAUUAGAUACCCUGGUAGUCCUUUCUGUAAU